GCCAAAAAUCUAGCCCCAACUUUCUAUAACACCUCACUCAACAUCUAACCUCAACAAACUAAAACAUUCUUACAAUUUAGUACAGGAGAUCAAAAAAUUAUUUGGAGCCACACAAGUCGUACCGUAAGGGAAAGAUGAAAUAAAAAUGAAAAAAACGCUAAAGCAUAUAAAAGCAGAGACUCCCCCUCGUACCUUUUGCAUCAUGGUUUAACUAGUCUAAUCAAGCAAAAUGAAUUUUAGUUUGCCUUCCCGAAACUAAACGAGCUACUUCGAGGCAGCCUCAUGGGCGAACCCAUCUCUGUCGCAAAAGAGUGGGAAGACCUCCAAGUAGGGGUGACAGACCAAACGAGUUUAGUAAUAGCUGGUUAUCCAAUAAAAGGAUAUUAGUCCAACCUAAAGCUCCCUUUAUGCCCCACAACAAGACCCCCGCUUUAGAGUCAUUCAAAUGAGGUACAGCCUAUUUGAAACAGGAUACAACCUACACUAAUGGGUAAUUUUCUACCUACGCAUUGAAGUGGGCCUAAAAGCAGCCAUCUUUUUAAAAGCGUCAAAGCUUACAUGCCACAUUACGUAAUUCCACAACUAACUUAGAACCCUUUACUACCACUGGAUAAUUCUAUAAUCCUAUAGAAUUUAUUAUGUUAAAACUAGUAACAAGAAGCCCGCCCUUCUCUUAAAUGCAAGCAUACAUCAGAAAGGCCCAACCACUGAUUGUUAACAUACUUGUAGACUAAGUAGCAACGCUACAAGAGAACCCUACUUACCCCUAUGUCACCCUAACACUAGAGCAUUCCAAGAAAGAUUAAAAGAAAAAGAAGGAACUCGGCAAAUAUCAGCCUCGCCUGUUUACCAAAAACAUCGCCUCUUGAAAACAUAUAAGAGGUCCAGCCUGCCCAGUGACUCAAUUCAACGGCCGCGGUAUCCUAACCGUGCGAAGGUAGCGUAAUCACUUGUUCUUUAAAUAAGGACUAGUAUGAACGGCAUCACGAAGGCUGUACUGUCUCCUUUUUCUAAUCAGUGAAACUAAUCUUCCCGUGAAGAAGCGGGAAUGAACAUAUAAGACGAGAAGACCCUAUGGAGCUUUAAACAAACUAACACUUGUUACUAAUAAUAGUUAUUCCAGAAAAUUAACAUUAAGUAAACCACUAUGAUUACGAGUUUUCGGUUGGGGUGACCACGGAGUAUAAACCAACCUCCGAGUGGAAUGGGGUUUAACCCUGAGCUAAAAGCCUCGACUUUAAGCACCAACAAAUUGACCUCCAUUGACCCAAUAUUUUGACCAACGAACCAAGUUACCCUAGGGAUAACAGCGCAAUCUACUUCAAGAGCCCCUAUCGACAAGUGGGUUUACGACCUCGAUGUUGGAUCAGGGUGUCCCAGUGGUGCAGCCGCUACUAAUGGUUCGUUUGUUCAACGAUUAAAACCCU
This 1427-nucleotide ribosomal RNA is filed under the name Hyloscirtus tapichalaca. RNAcentral describes it as "partial 16S ribosomal RNA". It matches the Rfam family "Bacterial large subunit ribosomal RNA", at positions 424 to 2597 of the family's 2925-position model. The record is from RNAcentral. Lineage: Eukaryota; Metazoa; Chordata; Amphibia; Anura; Hylidae.